This is a non-coding RNA of Cherax quadricarinatus, 1034 nucleotides long. The record is from RefSeq and is a predicted model, not a curated record. NCBI's taxonomy places the organism in Eukaryota, Metazoa, Arthropoda, Malacostraca, Decapoda, Parastacidae.
AACGAAAGUAUAUUUAUAUUCUCUUGGCCCACGGUGACCUGACCUUCUGAAGAGGCACACUCAGCAGGAGGUCAAACCCAGCCCACCCUCAGUGACCUCUCCUGGUGGUCAGGGAGCAGGGUAACGAGGUCGCGCACGUGUGGGGGUCACCUGAUGUUGGGGUCACUAUGUUCCUGGGCUUGACUUAGCUUGACAUGUGGGGAAGGUCAGGUCACAUUAGUGGCUCAUACGAGGUGUUAUUCCCAGCAGCACUACAGUGACCUGUGACCCACGUGGGAAAGAUUCUCACUGUGAUGGGAGAACUAUAGACAGAGAGAGGGGGAGCUAUGGAUGGAGUGAGUUACAGCUAUAGACAGAGGGGAAGCUAUGGAUAGAGUAAUAACAGCUAUAGAUAGAGGAACGGGGAGCUGUGGAUAAAUGGUGGAAGGGAGAAAGAAAGGACUGUGGACAGAAGGAGGACAACACACAUACACACACGUACUGUAUACAUACAAAGGUAUACACACAGGUACACACGCGUACUGUAUACACACAGGAACACACACACACGUACUGUAUACACACACAGGUACACACACGUAUACACACAGGUACACACACGUACUGUAUACACACACAGGUACACACACGUACUGUAUACACACAGGUACACACACGUACUGUAUACACACACAGGUACACACACGUACUGUAUACACACACAGUUACACACACGUACUGUAUACACACACAGGUGCACACACGUACUGCAUACACACACAGGUACACACACGUACUGUAUACACACAGGUACACACACGUACUGUAUACACACACAGGUACACACACGUACUGUAUACACACACAGUUACACACACGUAUUGUAUACACACAUAGUUACACACACGUACUGUAUACACACACAGGUACACACACGUAUACACACACAGGUACACACACGUACUGUAUAUACACAGGUACACACGUGAGAACGGAAGUCACUUACUCAGGCUGGUGGUCACAUAUCGAGGUGCAGUAAUAAAGGCAGUCUAACA